CUCCUCCUGAGGGUCCAAUGCUGGUUGCCAACUGAUGACCUUCCCCAACAGAGGAGGACAGUUCUUCAGUCAAGGAUAAACCAGAAGCUGUAUGCCCCUGCAAGAACUUCUAGAGAAGCUCUGUAGAGAAGAAGAGUGGAGGUGCUAGGG
This 150-nucleotide small RNA is filed under the name Peromyscus maniculatus bairdii (prairie deer mouse). Its description in RNAcentral is "7SK RNA (ENSPEMG00000029149.1)". Lineage: Eukaryota; Metazoa; Chordata; Mammalia; Rodentia; Cricetidae. The record is from RNAcentral.